GUCCCUGUAGCGCAACGGAUAGCACGUUGGACAUGUAAUCCGAAGGUCGUGGGUUCCAAUCCCACCUGGGAUG
This is a non-coding RNA of Trichonephila clavata, 73 nucleotides long. The record is from the annotation of a GenBank genome assembly. NCBI's taxonomy places the organism in Eukaryota, Metazoa, Arthropoda, Arachnida, Araneae, Nephilidae.